CCUACGGGUGGCUGCAGUGGGGAAUAUUGGACAAUGGGCGAAAGCCUGAUCCAGCCAUGCCGCGUGUGUGAAGAAGGCCUUCGGGUUGUAAAGCACUUUCAGUUGGGAAGAAAGCCUUGGGGCUAAUACCCUCGAGGAAGGACAUCACCCACAGAAGAAGCACCGGCUAACUCCGUGCCAGCAGCCGCGGUAAUACGGAGGGUGCGAGCGUUAAUCGGAAUUACUGGGCGUAAAGCGCGCGUAGGCGGUCUGAUAAGCCGGUUGUGAAAGCCCCGGGCUCAACCUGGGAACGGCAUCCGGAACUGGCAGGCUAGAGUGCAGGAGAGGAAGGUAGAAUCCCCGGUGUAGCGGUGAAAGGCGUAGAGAACGGGAGGAAUACCAGUGGCGAAGGCGGCCUUCUGGACUGACACUGACGCUGAGGUGCGAAAGCGUGGGUAGCAAACAGGAUUAGAUACCCCAGUAGU
Molecule: ribosomal RNA, 464 nt
Filed under: Vreelandella stevensii
Lineage: Bacteria; Pseudomonadati; Pseudomonadota; Gammaproteobacteria; Oceanospirillales; Halomonadaceae
Description: partial 16S ribosomal RNA
Rfam family: Bacterial small subunit ribosomal RNA
Source: RNAcentral